Molecule: long non-coding RNA, 280 nt
Filed under: Coffea arabica (coffee)
Lineage: Eukaryota; Viridiplantae; Streptophyta; Magnoliopsida; Gentianales; Rubiaceae
Description: long non-coding RNA (CARA_LNC007771)
Source: RNAcentral
AACUCAAACAGCAUGUUCUUCUUCUAGAACAUGGUCUAAUGCUCACCAUGUCCUCUGAGAAACAAACAGCCUUCCUAGACAAAAAGAACCUUCUUUUUCCCCCACCUGUGGUUGAGGAAGUUUCCCAUGACAAAGAACCACACCCCACUGAUCCAAGCUCAUCAAUUCCAGACCCUGGUUCAUCAACUCCUGUGACUCCUCAUGGCCCUUCCACAUCAGAUAAACGCAAGGCACCAGUUGACGAGGCUGCUGCAGAUGAUGAAGAAACUGAAGAGGAGGA